This 110-nucleotide ribosomal RNA is filed under the name Xenia sp. 7 CSM-2014. RNAcentral describes it as "partial 16S large subunit ribosomal RNA". The record is from RNAcentral. Lineage: Eukaryota; Metazoa; Cnidaria; Anthozoa; Malacalcyonacea; Xeniidae.
UAGUACGCAAGGAAUGGUCUCAGCGAUGCUCGACUAUAUUGGCCCCAUCGACGUAAUCAACUUCUGGCUGCUGCAAAGAAGGAAAACAAAAGGUUUAGGGAUUAACAAAG